RNAcentral lists this non-coding RNA (267 nucleotides) under Megasphaera sp. RNAcentral describes it as "T-box sequence". It matches the Rfam family "T-box leader". From Rfam's summary of the family: Uncharged tRNA acts as the effector for transcription antitermination of genes in the T-box leader family. T-boxes are found upstream of many aminoacyl-tRNA synthetase genes and some amino acid biosynthetic genes usually in Gram-positive bacteria. Lineage: Bacteria; Bacillati; Bacillota; Negativicutes; Veillonellales; Veillonellaceae. The record is from RNAcentral.
AAAAAUGUAAUGACCAAAAGAAGUACAUCUAUUUUUAACCGUAUAGAGAAUAAGAGCCACUGACUGAAAGCUCUUAUCAUUACUUUUAGCAGCCCAGAGAGUAAGAGCCACCGGCUGAAAGCUCUUACCAUCGCUAAAUAGAUGGAAUGCAUUUGCGAGCAGAAUUGCAGAAUAAGAGUAUGCAAUUUCGGAUCCUUUCCGUUAUCAGGUUUAAGUGGCAAAUAUAUGUUUGCAAUCAGAGUGGAACCACGGACCACCGUCUCUGUA